ACAUUGCGAUGAUGCAAAAGGUGGCUGUUAAAAACAGGGAAUUUUUGCUGAGAAUGUCCGGUUAUAAAUCGGGCGACUG
Regulatory RNA element from Tissierella praeacuta DSM 18095, 79 nucleotides. It matches the Rfam family "S10-Clostridia ribosomal protein leader". The record is from Rfam. Lineage: Bacteria; Bacillati; Bacillota; Tissierellia; Tissierellales; Tissierellaceae.